CAGUAGCCGCGGGAAUACGUAGGUGGCGAGCGUUGUCCGGAAUUAUUGGGCGUAGAGGGAGCGCAGGCGGACAUAUAAGUCCAUCUUAAAAGUGCGGGGCUCAACCCCGUGAGGGGAUGGAAACUGUAUGCCUUGAGUGCAGGAGAGGAAAGCGGAAUUCCCAGUGUAGCGGUGAAAUGCGUAGAUAUUGGGAGGAACACCAGUGGCGAAGGCGGCUUUCUGGACUGCAACUGACGCUGAGGCUCGAAAGCCAGGGGAGCGAACGGGAUUAGAUACCCCAGUAGUCCCUGUCCUUAUACAC
This 301-nucleotide ribosomal RNA is filed under the name uncultured bacterium. RNAcentral describes it as "partial 16S ribosomal RNA". It matches the Rfam family "Bacterial small subunit ribosomal RNA", at positions 509 to 809 of the family's 1533-position model. The record is from RNAcentral.